Camelus dromedarius (Arabian camel) is the source of this 166-nucleotide small nuclear RNA. Its record names the gene U1. It matches the Rfam family "U1 spliceosomal RNA". From Rfam's summary of the family: U1 is a small nuclear RNA (snRNA) component of the spliceosome (involved in pre-mRNA splicing). Its 5' end forms complementary base pairs with the 5' splice junction, thus defining the 5' donor site of an intron. NCBI's taxonomy places the organism in Eukaryota, Metazoa, Chordata, Mammalia, Artiodactyla, Camelidae. The record is from Ensembl.
ACACUUUUUCUGGCAGGAGAGAGACCAUGAUCAUGAAGGGGGUUCUCCCAGGGCGAGGCUCAUCCAUUGCACUCUGGAUGUGCUGACCCCUGUGAUUUCCCCAAAUGUGGGAAACCUGACUGCAUAAUUUGUGGUAGUGGGGGGACUGCGUUCAUGCUUCCCCUAA